Molecule: long non-coding RNA, 3362 nt
Organism: Stegostoma tigrinum
Lineage: Eukaryota; Metazoa; Chordata; Chondrichthyes; Orectolobiformes; Stegostomatidae
Exons: 2
Source: RefSeq, a predicted model, not a curated record
AACAAAAACAAAGUUGCUGUCAAAUCUCAGGAAGUCUGGCAGCUUCUUUGAAGGAAAAAACAAAGUUAACGUUUCGGGUCUGGUGACCUUUCCUCAAAACUGGCAUUUCCCCUCUUUGCUGUCCACUGUACCACCGAUUUUGGUAUCAUCUGCAAACUUACUAACCAGGCCUUCUAUAUCCUCAUCUAAAUCAUUUAUAUAAAUGACAACCAAAAGCAGACCCAGCAAUGAUCCCUGUGGAACACCGCUGGCAACAGGCCUCCAGUAUGGAAAACUUCCUUGCAUCACCACUCUCCAUCUCCUGCCUUUUAUCCAAUUUUGUUUAGUUUCUACUUAAUUAAUAUUCCAGUAAUAAACAUCCCUGAUGAGCUGCGGAACGGUCACCGCACCCGAAACGUUAACGCUGUUUUUGUUUUCCAUCACAGAUGUUGCCAGACCCGGUGAGCUAUUCCAGCAACUUUGUUUUAGUUCCUGAUGAGCUGCGACUUUGUACUUGACUGAUUUCCAACAUCAAAAGUUCUAAAGGUUGGAAGAGAUUGGUUUACCUUGACUUCCUAGCUUGAAAAUGUGCCUUUUAUGCAAAGAAACUGUACUCUGGGACAGUGGUUUUUCAGAUUUACCUGCAGGUCCAGCUGUGAAUCGGAGUUGAAGUAGUUGCAAGCACUGAUGAAUAGGCAGCUAUUUAGCCUCUGGAUGGAAUCCUGUGGAAGCGACGAGGGUCUAGGUCAUUGACUCGAGAACUGAUGAGGGAACGGCUUGCCCCAACCAGCUUCCCUUCAGGGGAACGCCAGCCUCAGGUCGCUCCCCUCAAGGGGUAUGUCAUCCUGACCUUGCUCCUCUCAUGCGUAGGCAGCUACAUCUUUCUCCCCUCUGGCACAUAAUAGACCGGUGGAAAACCUGGUGGGAUGUCACUUUCCAUGAGCGGUUGGCUAACCAGAACCCAGCAUGUGUACUAAGCAGCAGUGUCACUUGGGAGGUGAUGAUCUCUGUUACCAUUGGCAACCAACCUACGAUUAUUGCUCGAUCUCGGACCAGGAUUGAGUGAAACACCAUUAGCACGCCACUUCCCCUUCUUGAUGUUGCACAUUGAAUGCCUUUGAAAGCCUGUUACAUUUCUUAAUGGUGACUCCCCUGCCCACUGUUGACUCAAUACCAGUUGUUGUGGGAUGAUGUAUGUGUACGUCAGUUGCUCAAUUGGGGACUUUAACUCGCAAUGAAGUUGGGAAGUUAUGCACAAGUCUUCUCACCAUGGAUUUAAUCUGGCUCUAAGCAGAAUUGUAGGUGGUGCCAUCCUUCCACCUGAUUAAAUGUCCUCUAUUUUCAAACUUGCCACAAGGGAAAGUACAAAAUCCCGCUGUUUUUGUUAUCAAUUCAUGGUUUUUAAUUUUGCAAUCAGUGUCGUAAGCAGCAGAUUAGUUCAGUCCUUGUGAAAUUGAAGGCAAUGCAACACUUUAAUUGGUCACUUUUUAACAUGGCAGGUUCUCAGACUGAGGAAAUGGUGAAUGUUGUUGAUCUUUAAUGCAAUAUAAUGGAGGAGAGAAAAAUCUGGACUAUAGAGCCCACAGGAAGAAAAUUAUAAUCUGUCAGUGCUGCCUCCAUUAGAACAAUGCCAAGUAAAUACCCGUCCCCAUAUCGAACAAUAGAAGUUUCCUGCAUAUCAGAACAUACCCAUUGAGUGGGGAACUGAUGAAUAAUGCAGGAGCACCAUCGGAUUGAAAUACUUUUAUUCUAAGAAUUUCAGAACAUGCUGGGAUUUUUAUAGCAAGCAAUACUUGUGAUGGAAUAUUCUUUUAAUGUCAAAAUGCUGCAACAGUUUGGAAGAACCAAUAUUAAAUGGAUAUUAUUGCAGAUAAUAUAUGUGAAUUAAAUAAAAUUGUUUGCUUAAAGUAUUUUGUAAUUCGAAUUGAAUGUCGCAUUUUUGUAUCUUAGUUGUCUUCUGUUUCUAAUUUUUCUUAUUUUUAUAGAGCAGGUAUUGUCCUGGUCACUUGUAAUGCUGCCAAUUCAAGAUUAACUACAUGGAUGGUCUCUAUCAGUUGCUUAAUCCCCGAUGUCAGUUUGCAAUCCUGAAUCCAAGAUUGUCACUUCAUCUUUCAAUUCUGUGUAUAAUCAAAGUCUGAGAUCAACAGCUUUCAUUUUACUAUCUGGAAGUCAAUCAGUGCAGAUUUUGUUUGUAAACAAGCGUUCUGUAUGUAAAACUGCUUCGUUUAAUUAGAUUAGUUAGUUAAGAUUCAUUUUAAUGAAAUGAAUCAUAACUAAGCUUCAUCUCUUCCUCAUUCUGAUUCUGAACACAUGGUAUGUCACGCAAUGGCAAUUCAAUUUUGCAUUGGUGCCGGUUCAAACCAUGUGUUUUCCAACUACAGAUUGAUACAGAUGAAAUUGUACCAUUUCCUUUUUAGUACCAUUCUCACCAUACAGUGUUUCUGUUCAUUACGUUUCUGUGCACAGUUCUGAACCAGUCCCCUUGCCCCUGAGCUUGCCAAAUGUCUCAAUGUUGUCAUGACAUUGUCAAAGAAUUCAUUCCUUGGUAGAUUCAGAGAUAAAUUAAUGUAACCUAGUAUGUGUUAAUGCCUCUGCUGUAAUCGGGCGAAACACUCAGGCCAUUGUCUUAAUUUUUCUCUCUUGUAUUUAUAUUGAAAUGUUGACCAUGCCAUUUGCUCCACUUACUGGAAUUGGACUUGUUACAGAAGUGCUGAACGUCAACUUGCCAAAUACAAUUGGAUGAAAAGUAUGAGGCCAAUCAGUCUCUUGAAACACUUUCUCUAUGCAAUCAACAUAACAACAUUCAUUGACAAUGAAAAAUUACGUACGUGCUUCAGAAGAUUAGAUUUGAAACAGAGAUUUGUGAAUAUGAAUGGAGCUAUAUAUGUCCCCAUCUCAGGCACCAACCUCAAGUUCACCUGGACUAUCUACAACACCUCUGUCACCUUCCUGGACCUCUCUGUCUCCAUCUCAGAACCUAACCCGGAAGAGAGAGCCCAGAGAAUUGCCAAAGCUGUCCUCAAACAGUCAACAGAAGUGAAGGAAAAUUGGGAGCAAUUGAAAAUCCAUGCAAGCAACUGGCAGAAACAGGUGGAAAAGGCAUUGGAGAAACUUCAAGAACUGCAGAAAGCUCUGGAUGAUCUUGAGGCUCGUGAUAACAGCUGAGGGGGUCCACACUGAUUGGCAACCUGUGGGUGACCUGCUUAUUGACUCAUUGCAGGAUCACAUUGAUAAAACCAAAAUAAGUGCAAUUACAUUGCACUUCACUUAUGAACAGAUGUAACUGCAAUGUUGUAUCGAGACGAUCAGUAAUAUGAGUACUUAAGUAAUAUUGAUUGAAUGGUUGUUAACUUAAUUUGAAAAUUAAAACUUAGUUGAGCAUG